GCUUACGGCCAUACCACCCUGAAACACGCCCGAUCUCGUCCGAUCUCGGAAGCUAAGCAGGGUCGGCCUGGUUUAGUACUUGGAUGGGAGACCGCCUGGGAAUACCAGGUGCUGUAAGCU
RNAcentral lists this ribosomal RNA (120 nucleotides) under Labrus bergylta (ballan wrasse). The record is from RNAcentral. Lineage: Eukaryota; Metazoa; Chordata; Actinopteri; Labriformes; Labridae.